UCCCGGGUGGUCUAGUGGUUAGGAUUUGGUGCUUUGACUGCCAUGAUCUGGGUUCAACCCCUGGUCAGGGAA
This is a transfer RNA of Ovis aries (sheep), 72 nucleotides long. It matches the Rfam family "tRNA". Rfam says of the family: Transfer RNA (tRNA) molecules are approximately 80 nucleotides in length. Their secondary structure includes four short double-helical elements and three loops (D, anti-codon, and T loops). Further hydrogen bonds mediate the characteristic L-shaped molecular structure. tRNAs have two regions of fundamental functional importance: the anti-codon, which is responsible for specific mRNA codon recognition, and the 3' end, to which the tRNAs corresponding amino acid is attached (by aminoacyl-tRNA synthetases). tRNAs cope with the degeneracy of the genetic code in two manners: having more than one tRNA (with a specific anti-codon) for a particular amino acid; and 'wobble' base-pairing, i.e. permitting non-standard base-pairing at the 3rd anti-codon position. NCBI's taxonomy places the organism in Eukaryota, Metazoa, Chordata, Mammalia, Artiodactyla, Bovidae. The record is from Rfam.